AAGGGCAUAGCUCAGUGGUAGAGUAUGUGCUUAGCAUGCACCAGGUCCCGGGUUCAAUCCCUAGUACCUCCA
This 72-nucleotide transfer RNA is filed under the name Camelus bactrianus (Bactrian camel). It matches the Rfam family "tRNA". From Rfam's summary of the family: Transfer RNA (tRNA) molecules are approximately 80 nucleotides in length. Their secondary structure includes four short double-helical elements and three loops (D, anti-codon, and T loops). Lineage: Eukaryota; Metazoa; Chordata; Mammalia; Artiodactyla; Camelidae. The record is from Rfam by way of RNAcentral. RNAcentral also lists the same sequence under 2 other names.